GCCAGCAUGGUGCAAUGGUUUGAGUGUUGGACUAGGACUCUGGAGACCAGGGUUUGAAUCCCCCCCUUGGCC
This 72-nucleotide transfer RNA is filed under the name Phrynosoma platyrhinos (Desert horned lizard). RNAcentral describes it as "tRNA-OTHER". The record is from RNAcentral. Lineage: Eukaryota; Metazoa; Chordata; Lepidosauria; Squamata; Phrynosomatidae.